CGCGUAGGCGGUCUGAUAAGUCAGUUGUAAAAGCCCGGGGCUCAACCCCGGAAGUGCAAUUGAAACUGUCAGGCUUGAGUAUGGUAGAGGGAAGUGGAAUUCCUGGUGUAGCGGUGAAAUGCGUAGAUAUCAGGAGGAACACCGGUGGCGAAGGCGGCUUCCUGGACCAAUACUGACGCUGAGGCGCGAAGGUGUGGGUAGCAAACAGGAUUAGAUACCCUGGUAGUC
Molecule: ribosomal RNA, 228 nt
Filed under: uncultured bacterium
Lineage: Bacteria
Description: partial 16S ribosomal RNA
Rfam family: Bacterial small subunit ribosomal RNA
Source: RNAcentral